UAUUCCCCACUGCUGCCUCCCGUAGGAGUCUGGGCCGUGUCUCAGUCCCAAUGUGGCCGUUCACCCUCUCAGGCCGGCUACUGAUCGUCGCCUUGGUGAGCUUUUACCUCACCAACUAGCUAAUCAGACGCGGGACCAUCCUGUACCACCGGAGUUUUUCACACUGUAAGAUGUCUUACUGUGCGCUUAUGCGGUAUUAUCAGCCGUUUCCAACUGCUAUCCCCCGGUACAGGGCAGGUUUCCCACGCGUUACUCACCCGUCCGCCACUCAGUACAAGGUCUUCCGUCCGAAAACUUCCGUCCUUAUACCUCGUUCGACUUGCAUGUGUUAAGCACGCCGCCAGCGUUCAUCCUGAGCCAA
RNAcentral lists this ribosomal RNA (361 nucleotides) under uncultured rumen bacterium. Its description in RNAcentral is "partial 16S ribosomal RNA". The record is from RNAcentral.